RNAcentral lists this non-coding RNA (114 nucleotides) under Paraphysomonas vestita. Lineage: Eukaryota; Chrysophyceae; Chromulinales; Paraphysomonadaceae. The record is from RNAcentral.
GAAUAAAUGAAUGAGUAAUUAAGUAAAGAAGGAAGUAAGUAAGUAAGUGAAUAAAUAAAUGGUUUUUGAAUAAGUACGCAAAUGAUGAAUUAAUUGCUUGAUUAGAUGAAUAUA